AGUGGCGUGGCUACACCGUGGCCUCAAGGAGCCAGUCCUGCCCGGAUGGGGCUCGCCGGAUCGGUUUCGGUUUUCACGCACUCCCAUUUCUGUGGCCGCUGUGCAUUCGCGGUACUGUGCCCUGGCCGCCACCAGGACGUUUAUUCCUGAGCUAGAGGCCGGCGGGGAGUAACGAGGCAGAGAGGUUGAGGAAUCUGGGAAGACUGCAGAAACCUAAGGGCCGGCCUAUCCUUAGUCGUAGAGACAAGGCCCUGCGGAUCGCGCCGCCAGGCCACCCAGAGGAGGGACUCACCUGCCAGGAAAGCUAGCUGCAGCGCCUGCGCCCUAACUUCGUCCGCCUCUCUGGCACACCAGUGCCCUUAGAGACCAUAGAGGCCAACUUCCACCCGUUACCGACGGGCCCUCUGCUGCCCAGAGUGGGGAAAGUCCCUCCCCACAGUUACCCAGCCUGCCGGCGACAAGGGCCAAUUUGGAAUCCAGAGCCCCGGGCUCCCUUUCCAGGAUUGCUUUCACUUUUCUUCUCUGAGAUGAUACCUGUUUCCAUAGUUUGACCCUCACCCAAAUUUCGCACCUUCUAUGGAAUGUGGAGGGAAUCCCCAAGGUCUCCAGAGUCCCCCUUCCCCCAUCCUUUGUGAGCCUGGCUUUCGGCAGGCCUUUUUCCUUGAAAAGUCUAAAUAUUGAGAGGAAAAUCUUGUCUGGGCCCAAACCGGAGGUCAGGCUGAGGACAAAGUGAGGAGGCCUGUACCAGCCUUGUCUGCUACUGUGUGUGGGAUGUGGCAGGGAGCCCGGCGAACUUGGGUCUCUAGCCUAAGGACAUUAAGUGGCAUCAGUGGCUGCCAGGGCCAGGUGAGCUGAGGCAGCAAAGAAUCUAGUUCCACCACUAGUUCAAGAAUAUCCAGAAGGCCCAGCCCUAAAACUCUGUGUGUGUCUAAAAAGGGAGGUGGGUGGAUUAAAGCUGAGGAUAGAGAGAAGGAUUAGAGAACAAUGCGUGCUAUUUUU
Molecule: long non-coding RNA, 999 nt
Filed under: Homo sapiens (human)
Lineage: Eukaryota; Metazoa; Chordata; Mammalia; Primates; Hominidae
Description: non-protein coding lnc-ZC3H12B-20:2
Source: RNAcentral